CAGAGUGCCCCUGGCUCUGCUAACCCCGCGAACCAUACACUGUUGCCUCGGCGGGUACGCCCGCCGCAGGCCCCCUACAACCCUUUACCUACCAAUCCAUCUGACUUGAUUCUUAAAUGAACUAA
Molecule: unclassified non-coding RNA, 125 nt
Filed under: uncultured Xylariales
Lineage: Eukaryota; Fungi; Ascomycota; Sordariomycetes; Xylariales
Description: sequence contains ITS1
Source: RNAcentral